Molecule: ribosomal RNA, 301 nt
Filed under: uncultured bacterium
Lineage: Bacteria
Description: partial 16S ribosomal RNA
Rfam family: Bacterial small subunit ribosomal RNA
Source: RNAcentral
CAGCAGCCGCGGUAAUCCGAAGGGGGCUAGCGUUGUUCGGAAUUACUGGGCGUAAAGCGCACGUAGGCGGAUAUUUAAGUCAGGGGUGAAAUCCCGCAGCUCAACUGCGGAACUGCCUUUGAUACUGGGUAUCUUGAGUAUGGAAGAGGUAAGUGGAAUUGCGAGUGUAGAGGUGAAAUUCGUAGAUAUUCGCAGGAACACCAGUGGCGAAGGCGGCUUACUGGUCCAUUACUGACGCUGAGGUGCGAAAGCGUGGGGAGCAAACAGGAUUAGAUACCCCCGUAGUCCCUGUCUCUUAUAC